RNAcentral lists this transfer RNA (69 nucleotides) under Ictidomys tridecemlineatus (thirteen-lined ground squirrel). Its description in RNAcentral is "Spermophilus tridecemlineatus (thirteen-lined ground squirrel) tRNA". It matches the Rfam family "tRNA". From Rfam's summary of the family: Transfer RNA (tRNA) molecules are approximately 80 nucleotides in length. Their secondary structure includes four short double-helical elements and three loops (D, anti-codon, and T loops). The record is from Rfam by way of RNAcentral. Lineage: Eukaryota; Metazoa; Chordata; Mammalia; Rodentia; Sciuridae.
GGAGAAGUAGUUCAGUGGUAGAACACUAGCCUGGAAUGUGGUAAGCCCUAGGUUAGAUCCUUAGCUCCA